CCUACGGGAGGCAGCAGUGAGGAAUAUUGGUCAAUGGCCGAGAGGCUGAACCAGCCAAGUCGCGUGAGGGAUGACGGCCCUACGGGUUGUAAACCUCUUUUGUCGGGGAGCAAAGAGAGUCACGUGUGGCUCAUUGAGAGUACCCGAAGAAAAAGCAUCGGCGAACUCCGUGCCAGCAGCCGCGGUAAUACGGAGGAUGCGAGCGUUAUCCGGAUUUAUUGGGUUUAAAGGGUGCGCAGGCGGAGGUGCAAGUCAGUGGUAAACUUGCGGGGCUCAACCCCGGACUGCCGUUGAAACUGCAUCCCUUGAGGGCGUGAGAAGUAUGCGGAAUGCGUGGUGUAGCGGUGAAAUGCGUAGAUAUCACGAAGAACCCCGAUUGCGAAGGCAGCCUGCCGCAGCGUUACUGACGCUGAAGCUCGAAAGCGCGGGUAGCGAACAGGAUUAGAUACCCGUGUAGUC
RNAcentral lists this ribosomal RNA (459 nucleotides) under uncultured bacterium. RNAcentral's name for it is "partial 16S ribosomal RNA". It matches the Rfam family "Bacterial small subunit ribosomal RNA", at positions 338 to 795 of the family's 1533-position model. The record is from RNAcentral.